Long non-coding RNA from Lineus longissimus, 466 nucleotides. RefSeq lists it as uncharacterized. The record is from RefSeq and is a predicted model, not a curated record. The transcript has 5 exons. NCBI's taxonomy places the organism in Eukaryota, Metazoa, Nemertea, Pilidiophora, Heteronemertea, Lineidae.
UAGCUAUUCAUUUGAGAAUGCAGACUGCUCCGGCCAUGAUCUCUCCCAUUCCCACCUCAACCGAGCAGCGUGCCGGGCAGCAUGCAGUAGGCUAACCGAGUGUAAAUCCUUCCAACAACGUGGCAACGAUUGUUGGCUAAAGGAUCACGUGUGCACUAAGAAACAGCUUUCCAACGUGGGCCACAAGACCUUUGCUCAAUUCACAAAGCACUGUGGAGGUUCGCCAUCAACGGAGCACACAGGUUGUAGCUAUUCAUUUGAGAAUGCAGACUGCUCCGGCCAUGAUCUCUCCCAUUCCCACCUCAACCGAGCAGCGUGCCGGGCGGCAUGCAGCAGGCGAACCGACUGUAAAUCCUUCCAACAACGUGGCAACGAUUGUUGGCUAAAGGAUCACGUGUGCACUAAGAAACAGCUUUCCAACGUGGGCCACAAGACCUUUGCUCAAUUCACAAAGCACUGUGGAGGU